UUUUGUUCGGCCAAAUGAAGAUAUCCGGGAAGUAUUUUUAGCGAAAAAUGAGGUAUAGAUUUCAGAAAGUCUCAGCCACAUGUCUUGCAGUCUGGCUGCAAAAGUUGCGCUUCUGGCACCCCCUAUUGGAAGCGGCUGAGGAAACCCAACCUGGGAUCUCUGGAUUUUCAGCAGGAUUUUCUGUCUCCUCAGUCCAAUGCUGUUGUCUUAUCUCAGUAAUGCUGGAGAAUCAUCACACAAAACAGACACGCAUCCUUCAUUUCUGUCUAAAUAACAGGUGGAGGUUUACAGGCUGAAGAGAUCCAACCUGGGAUGAUCAGAGACAUCAGAGAUCUGAGGUCUGAACCUGGAUCACAGACUAGUAAAGCUGAUGGUCCCCCACGCCAGCAGGAGGCAAGCAGGUAUCACGUGAAUGUAGAAUGCGAAAACUUACCAGCAGUAUGAAAAACAAGAAGGAAACCAGGAGGACAGGAG
This is a long non-coding RNA of Gambusia affinis (western mosquitofish), 474 nucleotides long. RefSeq lists it as uncharacterized. The record is from RefSeq and is a predicted model, not a curated record. The transcript is spliced from 4 exons. Lineage: Eukaryota; Metazoa; Chordata; Actinopteri; Cyprinodontiformes; Poeciliidae.